Molecule: ribosomal RNA, 301 nt
Filed under: uncultured bacterium
Lineage: Bacteria
Description: partial 16S ribosomal RNA
Rfam family: Bacterial small subunit ribosomal RNA
Source: RNAcentral
CAGCCGCCGCGGUAAUACGAAGGGUGCAAGCGUUAAUCGGAAUUACUGGGCGUAAAGCGUGCGUAGGCGGUGAGCUAAGUCUGCUGUGAAAUCCCCGGGCUCAACCUGGGAAUGGCAGUGGAUACUGGCUCGCUAGAGUGUGUCAGAGGAUGGUGGAAUUCCCGGUGUAGCGGUGAAAUGCGUAGAGAUCGGGAGGAACAUCAGUGGCGAAGGCGGCCAUCUGGGACAACACUGACGCUGAGGCACGAAAGCGUGGGGAGCAAACAGGAUUAGAUACCCCGGUAGUCCCUGUCUCUUAACA